GAACAUUUGAGUUUUUUCCAGCUCAAGUACAGUAUUUUUUAACCAGAAUUUUGUUCAUGGCCUUUUCCAGCGUUAAGGCAUUGUCAUCCUGUCAUUGUCAGCUGUAUAAUGCAAUUAUCCAAAAUUUCAAUUUCUUUCUUUUUCAGAAGUCAAAGUUUCUGGUUGUCAAUCCUGCCUGCUCACUAGAAUCACCUAGGGAGUUGUAAAUUCCAACAAUCAGGCCACACCUAAGACCCAUUAAGUGAGGCUCUCUGGAAGUGGGUGGGACCUAGAGUCCGAGGUUUUAGAGCCCCCCUGUGAUUGCACCGUGUGGCCAGUAGGGAGCGCUCUUGCGCGAAGUCUUCUGGAGUCGGCGGAAGGCUUGGAAUGUUGCUCUCAUCUGAAGCUUCCCAUGAUAACUGCGCCGUGCUCUUCUUAAAUUCGAUCCUCAAGCCUUCUAGAAGAGUGCAUUGUAAAGCCCAGGCACCUCUUCAGUUCCAGUGUCUUCUGGGCUUUGUUGCUUGCCCCUGCAUGGAUCUUUGGAGCAGCCAGCGGGACACCUUUCUCCACCACACGUGUGUCAGUGUCUGUCUGUACCUGACCCAGAGGGCAGCACCUCCAAGCGUGAGUACCCUCCUGGCUGGGGAUCUGGAGCAAUGAGUUUCCAGGGUCAAGUAACAAGGGUAGGAGGAGGACUGGGGAGAUUCCAGCGCUGGACUAGGGCGGGCAGUGGGCAUGUCAGCUCCAGGUGCUGGC
This 735-nucleotide long non-coding RNA is filed under the name Phocoena sinus (vaquita). RNAcentral's name for it is "lncRNA (ENSPSNG00000018338.1)". Lineage: Eukaryota; Metazoa; Chordata; Mammalia; Artiodactyla; Phocoenidae. The record is from RNAcentral.